GAUGAACGCUGGCGGCGUGCCUAAUACAUGCAAGUCGAGCGAACGGACGAGAAGCUUGCUUCUCUGAUGUUAGCGGCGGACGGGCGAGUAACACGUGGAUAACCUACCUAUAAGACUGGGAUAACUUCGGGAAACCGGAGCUAAUACCGGAUAAUAUUUUGAACCGCAUGGUUCAAAAGUGAAAGACGGUCUUGCUGUCACUUAUAGAUGGAUCCGCGCUGCAUUAGCUAGUUGGUAAGGUAACGGCUUACCAAGGCAACGAUGCAUAGCCGACCUGAGAGGGUGAUCGGCCACACUGGAACUGAGACACGGUCCAGACUCCUACGGGAGGCAGCAGCAGGGAAUCUUCCGCAAUGGGCGAAAGCCUGACGGAGCAACGCCGCGUGAGUGAUGAAGGUCUUCGGAUCGUAAAACUCUGUUAUUAGGGAAGAACAUAUGUGUAAGUAACUGUGCACAUCUUGACGGUACCUAAUCAGAAAGCCACGGCUAACUACGUG
RNAcentral lists this ribosomal RNA (497 nucleotides) under uncultured bacterium. RNAcentral describes it as "partial 16S ribosomal RNA". It matches the Rfam family "Bacterial small subunit ribosomal RNA", at positions 28 to 507 of the family's 1533-position model. The record is from RNAcentral.